Molecule: ribosomal RNA, 307 nt
Filed under: uncultured actinobacterium 8ev
Lineage: Bacteria; Bacillati; Actinomycetota; Actinomycetes
Description: bacterial SSU rRNA
Rfam family: Bacterial small subunit ribosomal RNA
Source: RNAcentral
GAGUUUGAUCCUGGCUCAGGACGAACGCUGGCGGCGUGCUCAACACAUGCAAGUCAAGGGGGCCCGCAAGGGUAACCGGCGAACGGGUGCGUAACACGUGAGCAAUCUACCUCGAUGUGGGGGAUAGCCGGCCCAACGGCCGGGUAAUACCGCAUACGCUCCCUAGGCGGCAUCGCGUGGGGAGGAAGCAUUCGUGGCAUUGAGAGGAGCUCGCGGCCUAUCAGCUAGUUGGUGGGGUAACGGCCUACCAAGGCUUUGACGGGUAGCUGGUCUGAGAGGAUGGCCAGCCACAUUGGGACUGAGAUAC